Molecule: ribosomal RNA, 468 nt
Filed under: uncultured bacterium
Lineage: Bacteria
Description: partial 16S ribosomal RNA
Rfam family: Bacterial small subunit ribosomal RNA
Source: RNAcentral
GACGAACGCUGGCGGCGUGCUUAACACAUGCGAGUCGAACGGAAAGGCCCUGCUUUUGUGGGGUGCUCGAGUGGCGAACGGGUGAGUAACACGUGAGUAACCUGCCCUUGACUUUGGGAUAACUUCAGGAAACUGGGGCUAAUACCGGAUAGGAGCUCCUGCUGCAUGGUGGGGGUUGGAAAGUUUCGGCGGUUGGGGAUGGACUCGCGGCUUAUCAGCUUGUUGGUGGGGUAGUGGCUUACCAAGGCUUUGACGGGUCGCCGGCCUGUGAGGGUGACCGGCCACAUGGGGACUGAGAUACGGCCCAGACUCCUACGGGAGGCAGCAGUGGGGAAUAUUGCACAAUGGGCGGAAGCCUGAUGCAGCAGCGCCGCGUGCGGGAUGACGGCCUUCGGGUUGUAAACCGCUUUCGCCUGUGACGAAGCGUGAGUGACGGUAAUGGGUAAAGAAGCACCGGCUAACUACGUG